Molecule: microRNA precursor, 64 nt
Filed under: Marmota monax (woodchuck)
Lineage: Eukaryota; Metazoa; Chordata; Mammalia; Rodentia; Sciuridae
Source: RNAcentral
AUUUAGUGCUUUACACACACACACACCUAUAUGUAUAUGUAUGUGUGUGUGUAAAGCACUAAAU